UUUAAAUAUGGUAAGUAUGGUUAAAAGGAUGAGUAUAGUGAUUAUUUUUGAAAUCAUUAGACAGUACCCUUGCCUCCAUAUACUGAGAUACAUAUCAGUUAUUGAAAUACAGAGAUACAGAUAUGAGAUACAGAUCAGUUACAGAGAUAUAGUGAUAUAGAUAUGGGAUACAGAUCAGUUACAGAGAUACAGUGAUACAGAUAUGGGAUACAGAUUAGUUAUUGAGAUACAGAGAUACAGUGAUACAGAUAUGAGAUACAAACAGUUGAGAUACAGAUGAGAUACAGGCCUUUGGGGCCCGUCUGAGUACACACAGAGGCUUUGGGCCGUGUGCUUGGGCGCUUUUGUCCUUUGGGGACUAGAUUAUGCAUGCACAGAUAUGAUGAGAUAUGAGGUAGUAUUUCCUUGUCUAUCCGUUGUAGCUCCGGGGCGUGACGUUACCCAGAUAGUGCGUCAUUACCCGUCCGUUGAGGUCCGGAUAUGAC
Molecule: long non-coding RNA, 485 nt
Filed under: Citrus x clementina
Lineage: Eukaryota; Viridiplantae; Streptophyta; Magnoliopsida; Sapindales; Rutaceae
Description: Citrus clementina (C. clementina) long non-coding RNA (CCLE_LNC002598)
Source: RNAcentral